CCUACGGGAGGCAGCAGUGGGGAAUAUUGGACAAUGGGCGAAAGCCUGAUCCAGCAAUUCCGCGUGUGUGAAGAAGGCCUUCGGGUUGUAAAGCACUUUAGUGGGGGAAGAAACAGCUUGGCCACACCAAGCCUUGACGGUACCCCAAGAAUAAGCACCGGCUAACUCUGUGCCAGCAGCCGCGGUAAUACAGAGGGUGCAAGCGUUAAUCGGAUUUACUGGGCGUAAAGGGUGCGUAGGUGGCUAUUUAAGUCGGAUGUGAAAGCCCGGGGCUCAACCUCGGAAUUGCAUUCGAUACUGAGUGGCUAGAGUUCGGUAGAGGGCGGCGGAAUUUCCGGUGUAGCGGUGAAAUGCGUAGAUAUCGGAAGGAACAUCAAUGGCGAAGGCAGCCGCCUGGGCCUGGACUGACACUGAGGCACGAAAGCGUGGGUAGCAAACAGGAUUAGAUACCCUGGUAGUCCACGCCGUAAACGAUGAGAACUUGACGUUGGUUCGUUUUACGAAUCGGUGUCGCAGCUAACGCGAUAAGUUCUCCGCCUGGGGAGUACGGCCGCAAGGUUGAAACUCAAAGGAAUUGACGGCUUGAGAGNGCGAGNGACGACGAGGAGAG
This 610-nucleotide ribosomal RNA is filed under the name uncultured bacterium. RNAcentral's name for it is "bacterial SSU rRNA". It matches the Rfam family "Bacterial small subunit ribosomal RNA", at positions 338 to 948 of the family's 1533-position model. The record is from RNAcentral.